RNAcentral lists this ribosomal RNA (402 nucleotides) under uncultured bacterium. RNAcentral describes it as "bacterial SSU rRNA". It matches the Rfam family "Bacterial small subunit ribosomal RNA", at positions 355 to 774 of the family's 1533-position model. The record is from RNAcentral.
UGGGGAAUCUUGCACAAUGGAGGAAACUCUGAUGCAGCGACGCCGCGUGAGCGAAGAAGCCUUUCGGGGUGUAAAGCUCUUACGCCAGGGACGAUAAUGACGGUACCUGGAGAAGCAGCUGCGGCUAACUACGUGCCAGCAGCCGCGGUAAUACGUAGGCAGCAAGCGUUGUUCGGAAUUACUGGGCGUAAAGGGUGCGUAGGCGGCGCUCUAAGUUUGGUGUGAAAUCUCCCGGCUUAACUGGGAGGGUGCACUGAAAACUGGGGCGCUCGAGUAUGGGAGAGGAAAGCGGAAUUCCUGGUGUAGCGGUGAAACGCGUAGAGAUCAGGAGGAACACCAGCGGUGCAGACGGCUUUCUGGACCAUCACUGACGCUGAGGCACGAAAGCGUGGGUAGCAAACA